GAUGAACGCUGGCGGCGUGCCUAAUACAUGCAAGUCGAGCGAACAGACGAGGAGCUUGCUCCUCUGACGUUAGCGGCGGACGGGUGAGUAACACGUGGAUAACCUACCUAUAAGACUGGGAUAACUUCGGGAAACCGGAGCUAAUACCGGAUAAUAUAUUGAACCGCAUGGUUCAAUAGUGAAAGACGGUUUUGCUGUCACUUAUAGAUGGAUCCGCGCCGCAUUAGCUAGUUGGUAAGGUAACGGCUUACCAAGGCAACGAUGCGUAGCCGACCUGAGAGGGUGAUCGGCCACACUGGAACUGAGACACGGUCCAGACGCCUACGGGAGGCAGCAGUAGGGAAUCUGCCGCAAUGGGCGAAAGCUUGACGGAGCAACGCCGCGUGAGGGAUGAAGGUCUUCGGAUCGUAAAACUCUGUUAUUAGGGAAGAACAAAUGUGUAAGUAACUAGGCACGUCUUGACGGUACCUAAUCAGAAAGCCACGGCUAACUACGUG
This 497-nucleotide ribosomal RNA is filed under the name uncultured bacterium. Its description in RNAcentral is "partial 16S ribosomal RNA". It matches the Rfam family "Bacterial small subunit ribosomal RNA", at positions 28 to 507 of the family's 1533-position model. The record is from RNAcentral.